This 425-nucleotide ribosomal RNA is filed under the name uncultured bacterium. Its description in RNAcentral is "partial 16S ribosomal RNA". It matches the Rfam family "Bacterial small subunit ribosomal RNA", at positions 354 to 796 of the family's 1533-position model. The record is from RNAcentral.
GUGGGGAAUAUUGGACAAUGGGCGCAAGCCUGAUCCAGCAAUGCCGCGUGGGUGAAGAAGGUCUUCGGAUCGUAAAGCCCUUUCGACAGGGACGAUGAUGACGGUACCUGUAGAAGAAGCCCCGGCUAACUUCGUGCCAGCAGCCGCGGUAAUACGAAGGGGGCUAGCGUUACUCGGAAUUACUGGGCGUAAAGGGCGCGUAGGCGGCUCUGUUAGUCAGGCGUGAAAUUCCUGGGCUUAACCGGGGGACUGCGCUUGAUACUGCAGGGCUUGAGGCCGAGAGAGGGUGGUGGAAUGCCCAGUGUAGAGGUGAAAUUCGUAGAUAUUGGGAAGAACACCGGUGGCGAAGGCGACCACCUGGCUCGGUUCUGACGCUGAGGCGCGACAGCGUGGGGAGCAAACAGGAUUAGAAACCCGGGUAGUCC